Molecule: ribosomal RNA, 325 nt
Filed under: uncultured eukaryote
Lineage: Eukaryota
Description: partial 18S ribosomal RNA
Rfam family: Eukaryotic small subunit ribosomal RNA
Source: RNAcentral
CCCUUAGAUGUUCUGGGCCGCACGCGCGCUACACUGAUGCAUUCAACGAGCCUAUCCUUGACCGACAGGUCCGGGUAAUCUUUGAAUCUGCAUCGUGACGGGGAUAGAUUAUUGCAAUUAUUAAUCUUCAACGAGGAAUGCCUAGUAGGCGCAAGUCAUCAGCUUGCGUCGAUUAAGUCCCUGCCCUUUGUACACACCGCCCGUCGCUCCUACCGAUUGGGUGUGCUGGUGAAAUGUUCGGAUCGGCCGUUUGUCGCGGUUUCCGCGGCUCGUGGCUGAGAAGUUCAUUAAACCCUCCCACCUAGAGGAAGGAGAAGUCGUAACA